AGUGAACGCUGGCGGUAGGCCUAACACAUGCAAGUCGAACGGCAGCACAGUAAGAGCUUGCUCUUACGGGUGGCGAGUGGCGGACGGGUGAGGAAUACAUCGGAAUCUACUUUUUCGUGGGGGAUAACGUAGGGAAACUUACGCUAAUACCGCAUACGACCUACGGGUGAAAGCAGGGGAUCUUCGGACCUUGCGCGAUUGAAUGAGCCGAUGUCGGAUUAGCUAGUUGGCGGGGUAAAGGCCCACCAAGGCGACGAUCCGUAGCUGGUCUGAGAGGAUGAUCAGCCACACUGGAACUGAGACACGGUCCAGACUCCUACGGGAGGCAGCAGUGGGGAAUAUUGGACAAAGGGCGCAAGCCUGAUCCGGCCAUACCGCGUGGGUGAAGAAGGCCUUCGGGUUGUAAAGCCCUUUUGUUGGGAAAGAAAAGCAGCAGGUUAAUACCCCGCUGUUCUGACGGUACCCAAAGAUUAAGCACCGGCUAACUUCGUG
RNAcentral lists this ribosomal RNA (492 nucleotides) under uncultured bacterium. RNAcentral's name for it is "partial 16S ribosomal RNA". It matches the Rfam family "Bacterial small subunit ribosomal RNA", at positions 29 to 507 of the family's 1533-position model. The record is from RNAcentral.